AUCAGCACAGUCCCAGAAGUCAUCAUCGCAAGACACUGUGGGCUCCGUGCCUUUGGUUUCUCACUCAUUACUAACGAGGUUGUCGUGGGUUACGAGAACUUGGAGAAGGCCAAUCACAAGGAAGUUCUGGAGACCAGGGAAACAGCUGCAUAGAUGUCUCCGAGCGUGACAACUGACUGGCCAUGGAGGGCUGCAGUGCUCUCCCAGCGGUGUCCAUGUAGCUGUCUUCUCUGGUCCCUUGCCUGGGGUCACUAGUCCCUGUUCUUAGAGUCUAGCAUAAAGGAAAGAGGAGGAUGCCCACCCUUCACCUUCCCGAUAGAUAUCCUUCCAAUGCUCUCACGCCCGGUCCUCUCGCUCGAUAGAUAUCCUUCCAAUGCUCUCACGCCUGGUCCUCUCGCUCGAUAGAUAUCCUUCCAAUGCUCUCACGCCUGGUCCUCUCGCUCAGUUGCCUUCUCAAAUUAACUUUCAUUCCUCUGGAAGAGCUGGAGUUCACUUCCCAGCACACUUGGGAUACAUGCCUUCAAACAAUACCUUCUACAUCCCGGAGAUGACAGACAUGUUCUGGGCUCAGUCUGCUUCCCCUAAAGCCCUGGAAACCAAAGUUCAACCCAAUACCUCUUGGAUUUUAUUUAGCAUCAUAAUGUCUUGAGAAUUAAGAUAUCAGAUACUUUAAAAAAAAAAAAGAA
Molecule: long non-coding RNA, 686 nt
Filed under: Rattus norvegicus (Norway rat)
Lineage: Eukaryota; Metazoa; Chordata; Mammalia; Rodentia; Muridae
Description: long non-coding RNA NONRATT021026
Source: RNAcentral